UGGGGAAUAUUGCGCAAUGGACGAAAGUCUGACGCAGCGACGCCGCGUGAGGGAUGAAGGUUUUCGGAUCGUAAACCUCUGUCAGGAGGGAAGAAAGCGUAUGGCGCCAAUCAGCCAUGCGUUGACGGUACCUCCAAAGGAAGCGCCGGCUAACUCCGUGCC
RNAcentral lists this ribosomal RNA (162 nucleotides) under uncultured bacterium. Its description in RNAcentral is "partial 16S ribosomal RNA". It matches the Rfam family "Bacterial small subunit ribosomal RNA", at positions 355 to 509 of the family's 1533-position model. The record is from RNAcentral.